UACGUAGGGUGCGAGCGUUAAUCGGAAUUACUGGGCGUAAAGUGUGCGCAGGCGGCCGAGCAAGUCGAGUGUGAAAUCCCGGAGCUCAACUCCGGAACUGCCUUUGAUACUGGGGAUCUUGGAGUCCGGGUGAGGUGAGUGGAACUGCGAGUGUAGAGGUGAAAUUCGUAGAUAUUCGCAAGAACACCAGUGGCGAAGGCGGCUCACUGGCCCGGUACUGACGCUGAGGUGCGAAAGCGUGGGGAGCAUACAGG
Molecule: ribosomal RNA, 254 nt
Filed under: uncultured bacterium
Lineage: Bacteria
Description: partial 16S ribosomal RNA
Rfam family: Bacterial small subunit ribosomal RNA
Source: RNAcentral